Molecule: long non-coding RNA, 1181 nt
Organism: Herpailurus yagouaroundi (jaguarundi)
Lineage: Eukaryota; Metazoa; Chordata; Mammalia; Carnivora; Felidae
Exons: 4
Source: RefSeq, a predicted model, not a curated record
GUCUAUUCCUACAAGUGCAUAGAGCUUCAGGGAUGAAAAUCUGCAUUCCCUUGAUCAAGUCCUUUUUUUUCUUCCAAAAUGUUCAAUGGCGACCGACUGCCUGUAGUAAAUGGCUCAAACUUCUUGGCUUGGCUCGCAAGGACAGAACCUUGACUCCCUCCUUCUUGAUAAUAGUCACUGGACACUCGGAAGGCCUAUGAUGCAGGUAAAAUUAUUACCCUCAUCUACAUCUUACAGAUGGGGAAACUGAGAAGGAAAGAAAGGACCCCUAGCCACCCCCUGUCAGGGCCCCAGCCUGGCCCCGGCCUGUGGAUGACUGUCAGGACUGGAGUGUGCUGUGAUAAACCAGAGCACGUGCACCAAUGGAGAGACCACUGCCUGGGAGAGAAGGCUCGGCGCGCUGGCUUUUCCAUGAUUAACGCGGAGAGAAUGGCUUCGACGCUUCGCAGGGCCGGCCGGGCCACGCGAGGAGAAAUGGCCCUUUUCCCCUCCUCCUCAGGCGCCUGUCUGGAGGACAGUGGGCCAGGAAGGGUCAGCCGUGCUGGUGGGGUCAGUGGCAAGGUUGCCUGAAAUUUGCACAGGAAUCCACAUCGCUGAACUCCCAGGCCCCUGGCUCCCUCAGGAAGCUGCUGCCACCCCAGCCGGGCAACUACAGAGAAGCAACCGCCCCCCGUGGUAUUUCCCCUCCCACAAGCCACAUGAAACAGCUCUUGGGGGAGACGGAGAGAGAGCACACUUCAGAAGUGGGUGUGAAAAUUUGAGCCUUGUGGAUGAGGUGCCCUCCACGAGAAGGGGGCAGCUCUGUGGCCUUGGAGGCUAGUCCGGAGGAGUUCCCUCAGGUCUGGUCUUUGGGAGAAAGGGCACAUUGGCUAUGUGGUGGGGGCAAACCGCUGCCCCGCCGCACCCCUGCCAGAGGUCCCCUCUCCCUACAGAGUACGGACAGGGCCACACUCUGCACCCAUGGCUAGUGGACAAUUCUAAAAGUCGGGUACCUGGAGGUACCGAGUCAGAGUAGCGUACCUGACUACCCCACAUGGCCCAGCCUGUCACCAUACCCUAGGGCUUCCAUUUUUCAGGGCGGUUGGCCCUGGGCCAAGGGAAUCCUAUAAAUUCCAGGUACAUGCAGAAAUAAAGGUCAUGCUCCUAGGAGCCAAGGGAUAGGGUCUUUCCCAAGAGAGUGA